RNAcentral lists this ribosomal RNA (522 nucleotides) under uncultured bacterium. Its description in RNAcentral is "partial 16S ribosomal RNA". It matches the Rfam family "Bacterial small subunit ribosomal RNA", at positions 355 to 870 of the family's 1533-position model. The record is from RNAcentral.
UGGGGAAUUUUGGACAAUGGGCGAAAGCCUGAUCCAGCAAUGCCGCGUGUGUGAAGAAGGCCUUCGGGUUGUAAAGCACUUUUGUCCGGGAAAGAAAUCCUUGGCUCUAAUACAGUCGGGGGAUGACGGUACCGGAAGAAUAAGCACCGGCUAACUACGUGCCAGCAGCCGCGGUAAUACGUAGGGUGCAAGCGUUAAUCGGAAUUACUGGGCGUAAAGCGUGCGCAGGCGGUUUGCUAAGACCGAUGUGAAAUCCCCGGGCUCAACCUGGGAACUGCAUUGGUGACUGGCAGGCUAGAGUAUGGCAGAGGGGGGUAGAAUUCCACGUGUAGCAGUGAAAUGCGUAGAGAUGUGGAGGAAUACCGAUGGCGAAGGCAGCCCCCUGGGCCAAUACUGACGCUCAUGCACGAAAGCGUGGGGAGCAAACAGGAUUAGAUACCCUGGUAGUCCACGCCCUAAACGAUGUCAACUAGUUGUGGGGAUUCAUUUCCUUAGUAACGUAGCUAACGCGUGAAGUUGACC